AGAGUUUGAUCCUGGCUCAGAACGAACGCUGGCGGCGUGCUUAACACAUGCAAGUCUGACGGAGUCAUUUUGAAGUAGCAAUAUGGAAAGAUGACUUAGUGGCGGACGGGUGAGUAACACGUAGGUAACCUACCCUUAAGCCGGGGACAACUCAGGGAAACUUGAGCUAAUACCCGAUAAGACCACGGACUGAGAUGUUAGUGGUAAAAGGAGCGAUUCACUUAGGGAUGGGCCUGCGGCCUAUCAGGUAGUUGGUGAGGUAAUGGCUCACCAAGCCUAAGACGGGUAGCCGGGCUGAGAGGCCGGACGGCCACACUGGAACUGAGACACGGUCCAGACUCCUACGGGAGGCAGCAGUGGGGAAUCUUGCGCAAUGGGGGAAACCCUGACGCAGCAACGCCGCGUGGGUGAUGAAGGCCUUCGGGUCGUAAAGCCCUGUCAGGUGGGAAGAAACAUGUCGAUGUCAAUAACGUCGGCAUUUGACGGUACCACCGGAGGAAGCACCGGCUAACUCCGUGCCAGCAGCCGCGGUAAUACGGAGGGUGCAAGCGUUGUUCGGAAUUAUUGGGCGUAAAGCGCGUGUAGGCGGUCGGGUAAGUCAGAUGUGAAAGCCUUCCGCUCAACGGAAGAAGUGCAUUUGAAACUGCUCGGCUGGAGUACGGGAGAGGAGAGUGGAAUUCCCGGUGUAGAGGUGAAAUUCGUAGAUAUCGGGAGGAACACCAGUGGCGAAGGCGGCUCUCUGGUCCGAUACUGACGCUGAGACGCGAAAGCGUGGGGAGCAAACAGGAUUAGAUACCCUGGUAGUCC
This 807-nucleotide ribosomal RNA is filed under the name uncultured bacterium. RNAcentral describes it as "bacterial SSU rRNA". It matches the Rfam family "Bacterial small subunit ribosomal RNA", at positions 8 to 796 of the family's 1533-position model. The record is from RNAcentral.